Molecule: long non-coding RNA, 597 nt
Organism: Talpa occidentalis (Iberian mole)
Lineage: Eukaryota; Metazoa; Chordata; Mammalia; Eulipotyphla; Talpidae
Exons: 3
Source: RefSeq, a predicted model, not a curated record
AAGAAAAAAAGGAAGCGCAAUCCCUGGGUGUCCUGAACCCCGACUCACUGCAGUGCCUAAAGGAAAGACAGGUGAAGUUUCUCCAACUUGGUUGAAAUGGAGAUAGGAAGGAUGUCUAGAAUCUAGAGGAGAUACAUCUUUGGAAAAGAUCAAACACAUCAUAUAAAGAGAAGACCAACUCUUGAAAGCAGACCAUAGGUUCUGUUUGUCAAAUAUGUGUGACCAUUCCGAUAAGUCACCAGAGGCGGGAAGGGAGAAAGAGAAAGAAAGAAAAUUACGACCGUAAAUAGACUCGGAACACAGAAAGAUCAAAAUAGACAGCCUCUGGCUUUACUGGAUGAGUCACCGUUGCAGCCCAGACCGCAAAAAACAAGCGUGGCUUCUCUACUUAACAGCACUCUUCCUGUCUGGAAAGGAAGCACUGCUCUGAUUGGAGAUAUUGGCCAUUUUACAGACAUCAAAGCAACUGUAGCAACUGAACAGACAAGAGGGGGAACAGGUAAAACAGUUUUUCCAAGUGCUUGUCUGGAGAACCAGCUCCUCAACUUUGAUUUGAAGCUACAUGAAUGCUUUCAUCUUUAGCCAACUUUUUUUUUU